AGCUCCAAUAGCGUAUAUUAAAGUUGCUGCAGUUAAAAAGCUCGUAGUUGGAUCUCGGGUGCAGGCUUGCGGUCCGCCUCGCGGCGGUCACUGCUCGUCCUGACCUCCACGCCGGUUGUCCGCGCCUUGGUGCUCUUGAUUGAGUGUCUCGGCCGGCCGGAACGUUUACUUUGAAGAAAUUAGAGUGCUCAAAGCAGGCUACUACCGCCUGAAUAAUGGUGCAUGGAAUAAUGGAAUAGGACCUCGGUUCUAUUUUGCUGGUUUUCGGAGCUCGAGGUAAUGAUUAAUAGGGACAGACGGGGGCAUUCGUAUUGCGGCGCUAGAGGUGAAAUUCUUGGACCGUCGCAAGACGAACUACAGCGAUAGCAUUUGCCAAGCAUGCUUUCA
This 387-nucleotide ribosomal RNA is filed under the name marine Metazoa environmental sample. RNAcentral describes it as "SSU rRNA". It matches the Rfam family "Eukaryotic small subunit ribosomal RNA", at positions 587 to 972 of the family's 1831-position model. The record is from RNAcentral. Lineage: Eukaryota; Metazoa.